RNAcentral lists this ribosomal RNA (406 nucleotides) under uncultured bacterium. RNAcentral describes it as "partial 16S ribosomal RNA". It matches the Rfam family "Bacterial small subunit ribosomal RNA", at positions 30 to 526 of the family's 1533-position model. The record is from RNAcentral.
AUUGAACGCUGGCGGCAGGCCUAACACAUGCAAGUCGAACGAGUGGCGGACGGGUGAGUAAUGUCUGGGAAACUGCCUGAUGGAGGGGGAUAACUACUGGAAACGGUAGCUAAUACCGCCUACCAUCGGAUGUGCCCAGUUGGGAUUAGCUAGUAGGUGGGGUAACGGCUCACCUAGGCGACGAUCCCUAGCGGGUCUGAGAGGAUGACCAGCAACACUGGAACUGUGACACGGCCCAGACACCUACGGGAGGUAGCAGUGGGGAAUAUUGCACAAUGGGCGAAAGCCUGAUGCAGCCAUGCCGCGUGUAUGAAGAAGGCCUUCGGUUUGUAAAGUACUUUCAGCGGGGAGGCGUUACCGGAAGAAGAAGCACCGGCUAACUCCGUGCCAGCAGCCGCGGUAAUUC